AAAGCAAAGAACAAAGAGAAAAGAAUAGAAACAAACCCUAGAGAGGAAAAUUCAAGAGAAAUUCAUUGGAUUUUCGAAAAAUGAAGCAAUCGGAGGUGGUGAGCCCUUUGAUAAAGGUAAAGAUAUCGUAUCCGAGGACCAAGAAUAGGAGUACUCCAAACUCUCGUUAUAGCUCAGGACAGUCUGUAGACAGCCGAUUUUGUCGAGGGUUGCUUUUAGAUUUGCAUCUUUAGAAAUCGAAGCUCUACAGUCUUGUAUAUUUUCGAUUAUUUUGGGGCCUACAUGUCAUUGUAGAAUAUUUUUGUAUACCUGGUUUAGUGUGAUAUUAUAUAUAUGA
Non-coding RNA from Theobroma cacao (cacao), 337 nucleotides. The record is from RefSeq and is a predicted model, not a curated record. Lineage: Eukaryota; Viridiplantae; Streptophyta; Magnoliopsida; Malvales; Malvaceae.